RNAcentral lists this ribosomal RNA (512 nucleotides) under uncultured Spirochaeta sp. Its description in RNAcentral is "bacterial SSU rRNA". It matches the Rfam family "Bacterial small subunit ribosomal RNA", at positions 29 to 530 of the family's 1533-position model. Lineage: Bacteria; Pseudomonadati; Spirochaetota; Spirochaetia; Spirochaetales; Spirochaetaceae. The record is from RNAcentral.
AACGAACGCUGGCGGCGCGUUUUAAGCAUGCAAGUCGAACGGUAGAGAAACUUCGGUUUCUUGAGAGUGGCGAACGGGUGAGUAACACGUAGAUGAUCUGCCUUGAAGUUGGGGAUAGCCUAUAGAAAUAUGGGAUAAUACCGAAUAAUCUCUUACCACUAUGGUGGUUUGAUGAAAGGGGCUUCGGCCUCGCUUUAAGAUGAGUCUGCGGUCUAUUAGCUAGUUGGUAGGGUAAGAGCCUACCAAGGCGACGAUAGAUAGCCGGCCUGAGAGGGUGACCGGCCACAUUGGGACUGAGACACGGCCCAAACUCCUACGGGAGGCAGCAGCUAAGAAUCUUCCGCAAUGGGCGAAAGCCUGACGGAGCGACGCCGCGUGGACGAAGAAUGCCGAGAGGUUGUAAAGUCCUUUUAUAUGCGAAGAAUAAUGCCUGUAGGUAAUGACAGGCAGAUGACGUUAGCUUAUGAAUAAGCUCCGGCCAAUUACGUGCCAGCAGCCGCGGUAACACGUAA